CAUAGCGACUAUCGUGGCAUAUCAAUAAGCGGAGGAAAAGAAACUAACAAGGAUUCCCUUAGUAACGGCGAGUGAAGCGGGAAGAGCUCAAAUUUGAAAUCUUCAAGGUUCUACCUUGACGAAUUGUAGUUUAUAGAAGUGUUUUCUGUUAGUGGAGUGGCAAAAGUUCUUUGGAAUAGGACAUCAUAGAGGGUGAGAAUCCCGUAUUUGGUCAUUCCUCCUAGCGUUGUGAUACACUUUCAACGAGUCGGAUUGUUUGGGAAUGCAGUCCAAAAUGGGUGGUAAAUUUCAUCUAAAGCUAAAUAUUGGCGAGAGACCGAUAGCGAACAAGUACCGUGAGGGAAAGAUGAAAAGAACUUUGAAAAGAGAGUUAAACAGUACGUGAAAUUGUCAAAAGGGAAGCGUUUGACACCAGUGUUGUUUUUCCGAAAAUCAAUUACGAAUGUUUUAUUUUUGAGGAGUUAUGACUUCAUCGGCUUGCUUCCUCUCUUUACUGAAACUUUCUUAAUGCACUUUUCGGUUAACAAGUCAACAUCAAUUUCUUUUGUUGUAAAAGGGUAUGAGGAAGGUGGCUUUCUUUUCGGAGAAAGUGUUUAUAGCCUUGUAGCCUCUGCAAUCGGAGAGAUUGAGGUCUGCAGCGUAGAUCCUUCGGGGUUAGAUACAGUUUGUGCUAAGUUAUAGCUUUUCAUAGACAACUUGUUGACUAUGUUAGUCUUGUAGCUUACUCGCUGACUGCUAUUUUACCUACGCUUAGGAUGUUGAUAGUCACAGCGUGUAC
Molecule: ribosomal RNA, 778 nt
Filed under: uncultured Neocallimastigales
Lineage: Eukaryota; Fungi; Neocallimastigomycota; Neocallimastigomycetes; Neocallimastigales
Description: partial large subunit ribosomal RNA
Rfam family: Eukaryotic large subunit ribosomal RNA
Source: RNAcentral